CCCCGGGAGCCGGCCGGGUCCACGCGCGGGGCCCGCGUUCGCGCUCAUCCUAUCCGGAGCUCGGGGGGAAAGCGGGUUGUCUCCCCGCCUGGCGCCUGCGACCUCGGAAGCCCGCCGCAGCCCAGGGGCCUGCCGCGGGGCUGGGCAGCCGAGGCCCGCGCUCCCGAGCCGCCCGGGGCAUUGGAUACGGCAGGGCUCCCAGGGUUCUGCUACGCAGCUUUGCACCCUGAACCCGAAGUCGGUUCAGACCCACUAAUGCUCGUAAAAUGGGAACGAACAUCCGACCCCAGCUCCCCGGGCGUGGGGCAGGCUGCGCCACAAUUAGAGACACCCAGAUCCCAGGGUGGUCCCAACCACAUCCGGCUGCGCCCUUGAAGCCGAGACGCGCGUAGGAGGCCUCCCUUAGUGGCUGGGAAGUGACAAGAAAAUUAAACGCAACAGGGGAAACGAGCUUAACGUGCACCCGCGGCAUCAGGGCUCGGCAACAUGGCCCACAGUCCCGAGGAGACUAGCCUGAUGUUGGGGUUUGGGGCCAGGGCUUUCCGAAGGAGACUGAGCAGACCUCGGCCAACGGUCUCCGGGGGGCAAGCUUUCUGGGAGCGUGGCUGGUUUGCCCUUCGUAGGCCCGGAAACCACGGUGCCCGGAAAGGCCAAGCCAGGCCCGGAAGGAUCCUUGACGGAAUGGGGUGGGCAAAAAGUGGCUCCUGCCAGCUGGAUGCCAGCUCCCGAGGCGAGGGGAAGGAGGAAGGUGGAAAAUGGAGAGAACCUGGCGGAAACACGCUCUUCGAGACCACCCGCAACACCUGGACCACCCAGGGCGAGGCCUGGAACUGCGAAGCCUCGAGGCCUGCUUGGCCAAGCGGCUUGAAAGGCCGGAGAGGGGACUGCCUUCUUCCGGAAGGCCGACCUUCCAGAGGGGUAUCACCAACUGGGGAUUCUCCGUAGCGGCUGGCAGCCCCGCAGUCGGAGUCCACACCCGCGCCACCCCCUUAGAUGCUCAGCCUGCGCUCCACUUCGAAAUACGGAUCAUAUGCGGGGCUGAAGGAAGGGUAGGGAAGCGGCGCGGGCAUGAGCGAUUAAUUAAAGGGAAACCACAUCCGACAAAAGAGUUUUGUGAAAGGAGCCGAGUCGGAGAGGAGCUUCUGACCCUGCAGCUGUGGCCCAGACGGAUCCGCCUGCGACUGGGCCCUCCAGCAGAGGACACGGCGCAGGGGCCUGCUGGCCCAGCAAAAGGGACCCGCCUGGCUUGCAAAAACCAUGUGCUUUAAAUAAAGCUCAAGGUUAAAAGUUGCUGGGUUGGCCUGGGUCCCGGGGAGGUGGCUCGGUGAUCUCUGAGGCCGCAGCCACCUGGAUCCCCUACUAUAGUCUUGGAGACAGCACUGCCAAUAGAGGCCCUGCAGGCUUCUACAUUCAUUCACCAGGCCAAGCAAAGCCAGCCUGCAUUCACCAGGCAGGACUAUGCUGGAGACAGAGAUUUAAGAUGGAAAGCUGCUUCAUCAGGCUGCCCUAAAGAGAAGGCUUUGGUUUGAGAACUUUGGCCAAGAGAUGAAAUUAUGAUACCAAGAAGAAGAAGAAGAACAUAAACAAAAAGUAGAUUCUGAGGAAAAUGAGAACUUCCAUCGAAUCUAUACUUCUCGGAAUUACACUUCCGCUAAAGCUGCCUGGUGGGCCUGUUCCCUUGGUGGGCUCAAAAUAGACGAGACAAACCGGGAAAAAAAAGGUGUGAAAAUGACGUCAGAAUCUGAAGCGGUGCCCCACAAACGUCAGUUUGGUCAGUUUGGCGUUGGGGAGUUCCUCCACAGUUCACGCCUGCCGGGCCGCACCCCACACAGCUUGGAAACCAAAGGGCGUGAAGCAGGAGGAAGGCCGGUCCUCGCCAGCGGCGGCCGCAGGGGCCAGGCAGGCGGGCUGCCCGGGGAGGUGCGGGUCUGAGCUUGGACCGGGCAGGGGUUGGGAGGGUGAGUUAAAUAAAUACCACAAUUCGGAAUCCAGAGUUGCUAGUGCCCUUCUCAGGGAUUUGGAAGGGAUCUGCAAGUGACGUUUAAGCCUCCUAAAUUUGAUGAUAAAUUCGCUUUGGAGUUUAAAAAAUAUAUUUACCCCCCAAGUAAGUCCCCAAUGGGGAGGCCACCAGACCGUUCCGACCAGUGUGGACGCCGGCCGGUUCUACGAGGCGUGGGGUCCGCGUGGACUCGGCUUGGGAAGUGAGGGGUUUCGGCGUAAUUUACGAAUAUCCCUAGGAGUUUGGGAGACUUAAAGGAGCUCCCCGUGGAAGGUCGGAGCGGGGAGACCCGAGCGUGGAGCUCCUCUCCAGUGUAGAGCCCCCGAGGCUUCGACGAGCCCCCCUCCACUCCUGUUCUGACCCCGCGACCCGGGAGAGCAGGGCGACCAGGGCCUUGCGGGUCGCCCCGAAGGCUGCCGCGCACCCCGGGUCUCCCAGCGUGGCUCGCGACUCGGUGCGAUUGCCGCGCGAAUCCCCGGGAGAGGGGCGCCACGCAGGUCCAGGGAGCCCGCGAGUCUGGUCAGCUCCCGCCGGGAAGGCUCCGGAAACCACGGGCUCAAGACC
Molecule: long non-coding RNA, 2563 nt
Organism: Bos taurus (domestic cattle)
Lineage: Eukaryota; Metazoa; Chordata; Mammalia; Artiodactyla; Bovidae
Source: Ensembl